This 468-nucleotide ribosomal RNA is filed under the name uncultured bacterium. RNAcentral's name for it is "partial 16S ribosomal RNA". It matches the Rfam family "Bacterial small subunit ribosomal RNA", at positions 28 to 507 of the family's 1533-position model. The record is from RNAcentral.
GACGAACGCUGGCGGCGUGCUUAACACAUGCAAGUCGAACGGAAAGGCCCUGCUUUUGUGGGGUGCUCGAGUGGCGAACGGGUGCGUAACACGUGAGUAACCUGCCCUUGACUUUGGGAUAACUUCAGGAAACUGGGGCUAAUACCGGAUAGGAGCUCCUGCUGCAUGGUGGGGGUUGGAAAGUUUCGGCGGUUGGGGAUGGACUCGCGGCUUAUCAGCUUGUUGGUGGGGUAGUGGCUUACCAAGGCUUUGACGGGUAGCCGGCCUGGGAGGGUGACCGGCCACAUUGGGACUGAGAGACGGCGCAGACUCCUACGGGAGGCAGCAGUGGGGAGUAUUGCACAAUGGGCGGAAGCCUGAUGCAGCAGCGCCGCGUGCGGGAUGACGGCCUUCGGGUUGUAAACCGCUUUCGCCUGUGACGAAGCGGGAGUGACGGUAAUGGGUAAAGAAGCACCGGCUAACUACGUG